GAUGAACGCUGGCGGCGUGCCUAAUACAUGCAAGUCGAGCGAACAGAUGAGGAGCUUGCUCCUCUGACGUUAGCGGCGGACGGGUGAGUAACACGUGGAUAACCUACCUAUCAGACUGGGAUAACUUCGGGAAACCGGAGCUAAUACCGGAUAAUAUAUUGAACCGCAUGGUUCAAUAGUGAAAGACGGUUUUGCUGUCACUUAUAGAUGGAUCCGCGCCGCAUUAGCUAGUUGGUAAGGUAACGGCUUACCAAGGCAACGAUGCGUAGACGACCUGAGAGAGUGAUCGGCCACACUGGAACUGAGACACGGUCCAGACUCCUACGGGAGGCAGCAGUAGGGAAUCUUACGCAAUGGGCGAAAGCCUGACGGAGCAACGCCGCGUGAGUGAUGAAGGUCUUCGGAUCGUAAAACUCUGUUAUUAGGGAAGAACAAAUGUGUAAGUAACUAUGCACGUCUUGACGGUACCUAAUCAGAAAGCAACGGCUAACUACGUG
This 497-nucleotide ribosomal RNA is filed under the name uncultured bacterium. RNAcentral describes it as "partial 16S ribosomal RNA". It matches the Rfam family "Bacterial small subunit ribosomal RNA", at positions 28 to 507 of the family's 1533-position model. The record is from RNAcentral.